Molecule: ribosomal RNA, 373 nt
Filed under: uncultured bacterium
Lineage: Bacteria
Description: bacterial SSU rRNA
Rfam family: Bacterial small subunit ribosomal RNA
Source: RNAcentral
AACGAACGCUGGCGGCAUGCCUAACACAUGCAAGUCGAACGGGAUCCUGGUUUCGGCCAGGUGAGAGUGGCGGACGGGUGAGUAACGCGUGGGAACCUGCCCAGUGGUGGGGGAUAACUGCGGGAAACUGCAGCUAAUACCGCAUGAGCCCGAAAGGGGAAAGAUUGAUCGCCAUUGGAGGGGCCCGCGUUCGAUUAGGUAGUUGGUGAGGUAACGGCUCACCAAGCCUUCGAUCGAUAGCUGGUCUGAGAGGAUGAUCAGCCACACUGGGACUGAGAUACGGCCCAGACUCCUACGGGAGGCAGCAGGUGGGGAAUAUUGGACAAUGGGGGCAACCCUGAUCCAGCAAUGCCGCGUGAGUGAUGAAGGCCUU